Molecule: unclassified non-coding RNA, 1436 nt
Filed under: uncultured Neocallimastigales
Lineage: Eukaryota; Fungi; Neocallimastigomycota; Neocallimastigomycetes; Neocallimastigales
Description: partial contains small subunit ribosomal RNA, internal transcribed spacer 1, 5.8S ribosomal RNA, internal transcribed spacer 2, and large subunit ribosomal RNA
Rfam family: Eukaryotic large subunit ribosomal RNA (bases 660-1436)
Source: RNAcentral
UUUCCGUAGGUGAACCUGCGGAAGGAUCAUUAAAAAAUUGGACUCCAUUGGUGAGUUCAUUAAUAAUCCCUACCCUUUGUGAAUUUGUUUGUUUGAAUAAUUUUUUUUCCAAAAAAAAUUAUUGAAUGUCUUUCCCUGUUUUGGUGGAGCUUGUAAAGUGAAACCAGGCAGGGGAAUGGCAAACAAUAAUUAUUUUUGAAAAAAGACCUUUUUUUAAAAUUAAACUCUUGUAUUCAUUUGUCUAAAAUUAUUCUUAUAAUAUAAAAACAACUUUUGACAAUGGAUCUCUUGGUUCUCGCAACGAUGAAGAACGCAGCAAAAUGCGAUAAGUAGUGUGAAUUGCAGAAUACGUGAAUCAUCGAAUCUUCGAACGCAUAUUGCACUUUUUUAGUUUACUAAAAAAGUAUGUCUGUUUGAGUAUCAGUAAAAUAUUCUCAUAAAAAACAUUGUUUUUUUAUGGUUAUGAGUGUUUUACAACGAUAACAAGUUGUUUCACUUUAAAUUCUUUGUUAUCAAAAAGAUCAUUAAAAGCUAAUUUUAAAGAUUUUUUAAAAUUGGAUAAAAUUUUCCCGUAAAAAGGAAUAACCUAAACAAUUUUAAAAAAUUAAAAUUGGUUUGAUUUUUUUUGAAACCCAAAGGAAAAAAAAACGAAAUUAACUUGAUCUCAAAUCAGAUAAGAGUACCCGCUGAACUUAAGCAUAUCAAUAAGCGGAGGAAAAGAAACUAACUAGGAUUCCCUCAGUAACGGCGAGUGAAGCGGGAAGAGCUCAAAUUUGAAAUCUUCAAGGUUUUACCUUGACGAAUUGUAGUUUAAAGAAGUGUUUUCUGUUGGAGUUUUGGUAAAAGUUCUUUGGAAAAGGACAUCAUAGAGGGUGAGAAUCCCGUAUUUGACCAUUAUCUCCAGCUUUGUGAUACACUUUCAAAGAGUCGGAUUGUUUGGGAAUGCAGUCCAAAAUGGGUGGUAAAUUUCAUCUAAAGCUAAAUACUGGCGAGAGACCGAUAGCGAACAAGUACCGUGAGGGAAAGAUGAAAAGAACUUUGAAAAGAGAGUUAAACAGUACGUGAAAUUGUCAAAAGGGAAGCGCUUGACACCAGUGUUGUUUUCUCGAAAAUCAAUUAAAAAAGGCCGGAUUUUGUGUUGUAUUGACUUUAUCAGCUUUCUGCACUUUUUUCUUGUCUUUUUUAAUGCACUUUUCGUUUAACAAGUCAACAUCAAUUUCUUUUGUUGUAAAAGGGUCAUUGGAAGGUGGCUUUCUUUUCGGAGAAAGUGUUUAUAGCCUUUGGCCUCUGCAAUCGGAGAGAUUGAGGUCUGCAGCGUAGAUCCUUCGGGGUUAGAUACAUUUGUGCUAAGUUAUAGCCUUUCAUAGACAACUUGUUGACUAUGAUCAGUCAUGUAGCUUACUCGCUUAUGCUAUUUUACCUACGCUUAGGAUGUU